AUUGAACGCUGGCGGCAUGCCUUACACAUGCAAGUCGAACGGCAGCACGGGAGCAAUCCUGGUGGCGAAUGGCGAACGGGUGAGUAAAGUAUCGGAACGUGCCCAGUCGUGGGGGAUAACGUAGCGAAAGUUACGCUAAUACCGCAUACGAUCUAUGGAUGAAAGCGGGGGAUCGCAAGACCUCGCGCGAUUGGAGCGGCCGAUAUCAGAUUAGGUAGUUGGUGGGGUAAAGGCUCACCAAGCCGACGAUCCGUAGCUGGUCUGAGAGGACGACCAGCCACACUGGGACUGAGACACGGCCCAGACUCCUACGGGAGGCAGCAGUGGGGAAUUUUGGACAAUGGGCGAAAGCCUGAUCCAGCCAUGCCGCGUGCAGGAUGAAGGCCUUCGGGUUGUAAACUGCUUUUGUACGGAACGAAAAGGUUUGGGCUAAUAAGCUGAGCUCAUGACGGUACCGUAAGAAUAAGCACCGGCUAACUACGUGCCAGCAGCCGCCGCGG
Molecule: ribosomal RNA, 500 nt
Filed under: uncultured bacterium
Lineage: Bacteria
Description: partial 16S ribosomal RNA
Rfam family: Bacterial small subunit ribosomal RNA
Source: RNAcentral